This is a non-coding RNA of Acanthosepion pharaonis, 93 nucleotides long. The record is from the annotation of a GenBank genome assembly. Lineage: Eukaryota; Metazoa; Mollusca; Cephalopoda; Sepiida; Sepiidae.
UUGAAACACCAGUUCCCAUUCAAUCACUAAAGUUAAGCAACAUUGAGCCUAGUCAGUAACUUGAUGGGUGACCACUUGGGAAUAACAGGUGCU